CGGAGCCGUCGAAGGUGUGUCUGGUAAGGAGGGUGAAGUCGUAACAAGGUAGCCGUACCGGAAGGUGCGGCUGGAUCACCUCCUUUCUAAGGAGC
RNAcentral lists this ribosomal RNA (95 nucleotides) under Dethiosulfovibrio peptidovorans. RNAcentral describes it as "partial 16S ribosomal RNA". It matches the Rfam family "Bacterial small subunit ribosomal RNA", at positions 1448 to 1533 of the family's 1533-position model. The record is from RNAcentral. Lineage: Bacteria; Thermotogati; Synergistota; Synergistia; Synergistales; Dethiosulfovibrionaceae.